RNAcentral lists this ribosomal RNA (464 nucleotides) under uncultured bacterium. RNAcentral's name for it is "bacterial SSU rRNA". It matches the Rfam family "Bacterial small subunit ribosomal RNA", at positions 338 to 795 of the family's 1533-position model. The record is from RNAcentral.
CCUACGGGGUGCACCAGUGGGGAAUAUUGCACAAUGGGCGCAAGCCCGAUGCAGCCAUGCCGCGUGUAUGAAGAAGGCCUUAGGGUUGUAAAGUACUUUCGGUUGGGAGGAAGGCGUUGAUGCUAAUAUCAUCAGCGAUUGACGUACCAACAGAAGAAGCACCGGCUAACUCCGUGCCAGCAGCCGCGGUAAUACGGAGGGUGCAAGCGUUAAUCGGAAUUACUGGGCGUAAAGCGCACGCAGGCGGUUGAUUAAGUUAGAUGUGAAAUCCCCGGGCUUAACCUGGGAAUGGCAUCUAAGACUGGUCAGCUAGAGUCUUGUAGAGGGGGGUAGAAUUCCAUGUGUAGCGGUGAAAUGCGUAGAGAUGUGGAGGAAUACCGGUGGCGAAGGCAGCCCCCUGGACAAAGACUGACGCUCAGGUGCGAAAGCGUGGGGAGCAAACAGGAUUAGAUACCCCUGUAGUC